UACGUAGGGUCCGAGCGUUGUCCGGAAUUACUGGGCGUAAAGAGCUCGUAGGUGGUUUGUCACGUUGUUCGUGAAAACUCACAGCUUAACUGUGGGCGUGCGGGCGAUACGGGCAGACUAGAGUACUGCAGGGGAGACUGGAAUUCCUGGUGUAGCGGUGGAAUGCGCAGACAUCAGGAGGAACACCGGUGGCGAAGGCGGUUCUCUGGGCCUCACCUGACGCUGAGGAGCGAAAGCGUGGGGAGCAAACAGG
Molecule: ribosomal RNA, 253 nt
Filed under: uncultured bacterium
Lineage: Bacteria
Description: partial 16S ribosomal RNA
Rfam family: Bacterial small subunit ribosomal RNA
Source: RNAcentral